Molecule: ribosomal RNA, 616 nt
Filed under: Apolygus lucorum
Lineage: Eukaryota; Metazoa; Arthropoda; Insecta; Hemiptera; Miridae
Description: partial 16S ribosomal RNA
Rfam family: Bacterial large subunit ribosomal RNA (bases 147-306)
Source: RNAcentral
UUAUUUUUUAAUAAUUAAUUUUUAUAUAAUUUUUAUAUAAUUAAUAUUUUAGUUAUUUAUAGGAAUAAAUAUUAUAAUAUAAUAAUAUUUUAAUAAUGAUAAAAUAAGUAUUUUAUAUAUAUAAAAUAUAGUAACUCGGCAAAUAUUAUUUUCGCCUGUUUAACAAAAACAUGGUCUUUUGUUUAUAUAAAAGAUCUAACCUGCCCUAUGAUUUAUUUAAAUGGCUGCAGUAUUUUGACUGUACAAAGGUAGCAUAAUCAUUUGUCUUUUAAUUGAAGGCUUGUAUGAAUGGUUGGAUGAAAAAUAUACUUUCUUUAUUUUAUAUAAAAAAUUUAAUUUUCUAGUCAAAAAGCUAGGAUUUUUUUAUAGGACGAGAAGACCCUAUAGAACUUUAUUUUCUUUUUUUAUAAACUUUAUAGAUAAAUAUAAGUUUAUAUAUUUUUGUUAAUUUUGUUGGGGUGAUUGAAAAAAUUUUUUAACUUUUUCUAUUUUUUACAUUUAUAUAUGUUUUUUUGAUCCUUUAUUAUGGAGUAAAAGAUUAAGUUACCUUAGGGAUAACAGCGUUAUUUUUUUGGAGAGUUCUUAUCGAUAAAAAAGUUUGCGACCUCGAUGUUGG